This 468-nucleotide ribosomal RNA is filed under the name uncultured bacterium. RNAcentral's name for it is "partial 16S ribosomal RNA". It matches the Rfam family "Bacterial small subunit ribosomal RNA", at positions 28 to 507 of the family's 1533-position model. The record is from RNAcentral.
GAUGAACGCUGGCGGCGUGCUUAACACAUGCAAGUCGAACGGGCAGGCCCUAAUUUUGUUGGUUUCUCGUUUGCCGCACACGGGAGUGUCACAUGUGUAUCAUGCACUUAACUUUGGGAUAACUUCACGAAACAGCGGCUCAUACCGCGUAUAAGCUCCUGCUCCAUGUGGUUGGUUGGAGAGAUCCGGCGUUGCGGGCUGGAUUAGCGGCUUAUCAGCUUGUUGGUGUGGUAGUGGCUUACACAGUCUUUGACGGGUAGCCGGCCUGAGAGGGUUACCGGCCACAAUGCGACUGAGAUAGGGCCCAGACUCCAACGGGAGGCAGUAGUGGGGAAUAUUGCAGAAUGGGCGGAAGCCAGAGGCAGCAACGCUGCGUUCGUGAUGACCUCUUACGGGUGGUAAACCGCUGUCGCAUGUGACGAAGCGUGAGUGACGGUAAUGGGUAAAGAAGCACCGGCUAACUACGUG